RNAcentral lists this ribosomal RNA (449 nucleotides) under uncultured bacterium. Its description in RNAcentral is "bacterial SSU rRNA". It matches the Rfam family "Bacterial small subunit ribosomal RNA", at positions 328 to 792 of the family's 1533-position model. The record is from RNAcentral.
AAGCCAGACUCCUACGGGAGGCAGCAGUGGGGGAUAUUGCACAAUGGGGGAAACCCUGAUGCAGCGACGCCGCGUGGGCGAAGAAGUAUUUCGGUAUGUAAAGCCCUAUCAGCAGGGAAGAAGAAAUGACGGUACCUGAGUAAGAAGCACCGGCUAAAUACGUGCCAGCAGCCGCGGUAAUACGUAUGGUGCAAGCGUUAUCCGGAUUUACUGGGUGUAAAGGGAGCGCAGGCGGCACGGCAAGCCUGAUGUGAAAGCCCGCGGCCCAACCGCGGGACUGCAUUGGGAACUACCGGGCUGGAGUGCCGGAGAGGUAGGCGGAAUUCCUAGUGUAGCGGUGAAAUGCGUAGAUAUCAGGAGGAACACCGGUGGCGAAGGCGGCCUGCUGGACGAUGACUGACGUUGAGGCUCGAAAGCGUGGGGAGCAAACAGGAUUAGAUACCCCUGUA